Molecule: non-coding RNA, 76 nt
Organism: Merluccius polli (Benguela hake)
Lineage: Eukaryota; Metazoa; Chordata; Actinopteri; Gadiformes; Merlucciidae
Source: the annotation of a GenBank genome assembly
GUUGGGUAUAGCCGAACCAGUGUAUGGUGCUUGACCCCGAGCCAAACGGUUUUGGGUUCGAUCCCCAAUGUCCACA